AAUCGAACUCGGAUAUAGCUGGUUCUCCCCGAAAUAGGUUUAGGCCUAGCCUUGAAUAAUUGCUACCUGGAGGUAGAGCACUGAAUGUGGAAUGGCUUCGUCUAGAGGUACUGACUGCAAUCAAUCUCCGAAUGCCAGGCAAGUAGAUUCAGGAGUCAGUGUAUGAGGUGAUAACGUCCAUACGCGAAAGGAAAUCAAUCCAGAUCAUCAACUAAGGUCCCAAAAUAUAUGUUAAGUGGGAAAGGAUGUGGAGACGCACGAACAGCUAGGAGGUUGGCUUAGAAGCAGCCAUCCUUUAAAGAGUGCGUAAUAGCUCACUAGUCGAGUGACACUGCGCCGAAGAUGUACCGGGGCUAAGUACAAUACCGAAACUGCGGAUUCACAUUUAUAUGUGAGUGGUAGGGGAGCGUUCCAAGUUGAGUUGAAGGUAGACCGUGAGGACUGCUGGAUUACUUGGAAGUGAGAAUGCCGGUGUGAGUAGCGCAAGAUGGGUGAGAAUCCCAUCCACCGUUUGACUAAGGGUUCCUGGGGCAGGUUCGUCCGCCCAGGGUUAGUCGGGUCCUAAGACGAGGCCGAGAGGCGUAGCCGAUGGACAACAGGUUGAUAUUCCUGUACUACCUAUAAGACUGAUGGAGUGACGGAGAAGGUUAGGAAAAGCCAGUUAUUGGAUUCUGGUCUAAGCACAAAGGCUUAUAAAUUAGGAAAUCUGUUUAUAAUUAAGCUGAAGUGUGAUGGUGAAGUCGCUUGCGACGAAAUUUUCUGACACCAUGCUUCCAAGAAAAGCUUCUAGGGUUAAUCUUAUAGGUACCCGUACUCAGAACCGACACAGGUGGUCAAGGAGAGUAUCCUAAGGUGAGCGAGAGAACUAUGGUUAAGGAACUCGGCAAAAUGACCCCGUAACUUCGGGAGAAGGGGUGGUCACUAGAUGACCGACACUAAAGACGCCCAGGCAACUGUUUACCAAAAACACAGGUCUCUGCUAAGUCGUAAGACGAUGUAUAGGGGCUGACACCUGCCCAGUGCUGGAAGGUUAAGAGGAGUGCUUAGAUAGACGCAAGUCGAUUAUUCGAAGGUACGAAUUGAAGCCCCAGUGAACGGCGGCCGUAACUAUAACGGUCCUAAGGUAGCGAAAUUCCUUGUCAGGUAAGUUCUGACCCGCACGAAAGGUGUAAUGAUCUGGGCACUGUCUCAACCAUAGACUCGGUGAAAUCUUAAUACCUGUGAAAAUGCAGGUUACCCGCAACAGGACGGAAAGACCCCAUGGAGCUUUACUGUAGCUUGAUAUUGAAGUUCGGUAUAUUAUGUAGAGAAUAGGUGGGAGACUAUGAAGUUAGGACGCUAGUUCUAAUGGAGUCACCUUUGGAAUACCACCCUUAGUGUAUUGAAUUUCUAACCUCGAUUCAUUAUCUGGAUCAGGGACAGUGUCUGGUGGGCAGUUUGACUGGGGCGGUCGCCUCCCAAAAAGUAACGGAGGCGCCCAAAGGUUCCCUCAGAUUGGUCGGAAAUCAAUCGAAGAGUGUAUUGGUAUAAGGGAGCUUAACUGUGAGACUUACAAGUCGAGCAGAUGCGAAAGCAGGGCAAAGUGAUCAGGCGGUAGAGAAUGGAAUUGCCGUCGCUUAACGGAUAAAAGUUACCCUGGGGAUAACAGGCUGAUACCACCCAAUAGUUCAUAUAGACGGUGGUGAUUGGCACCUCGAUGUCGGCUCGUCACAUCCUGGAGGUGGAUUCGCUUCCAAGGGUUGGGCUGUUCGCCCAUUAAAGUGGCACGCGAGCUGGGUUCAGAACGU
This 1787-nucleotide ribosomal RNA is filed under the name human gut metagenome. RNAcentral describes it as "bacterial LSU rRNA". It matches the Rfam family "Bacterial large subunit ribosomal RNA", at positions 831 to 2619 of the family's 2925-position model. The record is from RNAcentral.